Long non-coding RNA from Catharus ustulatus (Swainson's thrush), 608 nucleotides. RefSeq lists it as uncharacterized. The record is from RefSeq and is a predicted model, not a curated record. NCBI's taxonomy places the organism in Eukaryota, Metazoa, Chordata, Aves, Passeriformes, Turdidae. The transcript is spliced from 3 exons.
AGGAACUCUCCCCGCCCGGCUCCUUGUGGCGAGGUGCUGGGCCCGGGGUCCGGGGCUCUCCCCCCGCAGCCCUCCCGGGGGCACCGUGGGGCAGGCGGGGAUCGGGAGGAUACAUGAGUGUCCAGACGGGUGGACAGAUGGAUGGACAGACUUCAGAAACACGGAGACCAGAUUUGGGGCUGUUUUUCCAAGCCAGGUGUUCCCUUACUCACAACUCCUGAACUCGCCAUAGGGGAGGCUUACACAGCUCAGCAGAGCAAAGGACAGAGAAACCCAGCACACACCCGGGGGUGCGCAGGACCCCUCCACAGCCUCAGGCACACGGGAGCCGGGCACGCUGCCCCUGUCACAGCCUUGAAAAUUGCCACCUACAUGCCUCUCCUCUCACCCACCUAACAAUUUGGCUAAAAUCUCGGGCACUGACAGCGAACUGACUCCUCGCUGGAAGGAAAGAAGGGAGGAAAGGAGCGGGGCAGAACAGAGGAACGGCUGCGGAGCAGCGAUCUGCGCUACCAGCCCGGGAUGUGCCCGAAUUCCUUCGCAGGGGCUGCACCCGCCCGGGCCGCCGGGGAACGGGCUCUGGGAGCCCUGGGAACCCACGGGCCCGA